UACGUAUGGAGCAAGCGUUAUCCGGAUUUACUGGGUGUAAAGGGAGCGUAGGCGGUAAGGCAAGUCUGAUGUGAAAGGCCGGGGCUCAACCCUGGGACUGCAUUGGAAACUGUUUAACUGGAGUGUCGGAGAGGCAAGUGGAAUUCCUAGUGUAGCGGUGAAAUGCAUAGAUAUCACGCAGAACCCCGAUUGCGAAGGCAGCAUACCGGUGCACAACUGACGCUCAGGCACGAAAGCGUGGGUAUCGAACAGG
Molecule: ribosomal RNA, 253 nt
Filed under: uncultured Lachnospiraceae bacterium
Lineage: Bacteria; Bacillati; Bacillota; Clostridia; Lachnospirales; Lachnospiraceae
Description: partial 16S ribosomal RNA
Rfam family: Bacterial small subunit ribosomal RNA
Source: RNAcentral